AACCAGAAACAAGACAUUGACGAACACUGGCCUAACGUAGGAAAUAAAUAAUAGAGGUACAUGUAUAGUGCCUGUAACCUAGGGAGCCAUAGGCAUUGAUCCAGGACUUCUGCCUGUGCUACAAUGCCCUCCUCCAUCUCACCACGCACGUUGUUCAUGCAAAUAAAAGCAUGGAAAUAAGAUAUCUUUAAUUAGGAGCACGAGUGAACAAAACAUGAAAUUGAUGUGUAAUAUGUACACAUGAAAAGCAUUGUCACGCGUUUGAUCAGUGUAUACCAAUGAACUCAAAGCUGAUCUCUCCACUUGCGGUAGAGAAGCACACUGAGUAGCUGAUACUGACAAGACUUUGACUGGUAUACUUGGGAAUGAGGAAGUAGACAGCUUGUUUGUAGUUGGGGUCCCACACCAGCUUCUCGUUCGUUUUGGGAUGCUGCAUGAUAAGACACAUGAUUGUGAUGCUCAGGCCAGUUGUAAUCGCAUACCCUACAGUUACUUAGGAACUGCCCAUGGUUAACUGUGCUAUUCAUUAAGUGUUUAAUUCUCUAUACUUGUAAAAUCAUAUCAGUAAAAUAACAGCCAACCACGUAGAAUUAUUGGUUACUAGGGAUUUAUGGCAACAUCUUCACUGUGCAGUAAAAUCCCUAUAACCACGAUGCACAAUCCACGAUAACAUAUCGUUCAGUUCGAACAAUGAGCUAAUAGAAGGCUAUUAUAAUGAGUGUUGCUUGCUAAUGCCUCUCGCCAUGUUUUUGCUUUCGCUCAAUAGUAGUAGAGUGUUAUUUAUAGGAGAGUGGAUCCAAAUAAUUUGCAAUGUGCUUUAAUUGUUUCACAAGAAAGGGGUGUCCACAGUUAAUAGUGCAUACUGAUCGUCUUAAAUUAAUGGCCUGUAGCCAAACAGUGGGAGCAAACCUUUGUCAAAGGCAUAGUCAGUAGUCUGUGAGAUAAGUAUAUUAAAGAGACAGAAUUCAAUCACAGAAAGUAGUAUCUAUAACAAGCAGUCUAAAAGGAGUUAUCAGAAAAGGUUGGUUUGUGGCUUACCAGGACCUCAACAAAGAAGAAGAUUUUGCCAGGAUCUGGGGUUCAAAAUGGAUUCUCUUACGCGUGGUAUUGAGCGCGCAUGCGCAUUACAUCCAGGAAUAAGAUUAUAAGGGGUGUGUCUGCAAGUUCAUAAAAAUUAAUAAAUUAGCUAGCUUCUUUAGCAGCUCUUUCUGACUUCUGUAGCUAACAAAAAGCUUAGCGCUUUAGUGCAAGGCUAAUUCGUAAGUUGAAUAGAAAGUUUGUGCGAACAGAUGAUGCUAUGAAAGAUUCUGAAGAGACUGCAACAGCCUUCAAUGUGAGUCAAACUAGCCAUAACUUGAGAAAGAAGCUUUAGUUUGCUAAUCCACGAAUCAAAAUCCAAGAGAAUGUGGCUAGAAGCCUAUAGAAGCUGUUAGUUUUCGUCGCAUUGCAACCGUUGAGCAGUUACAGCUGGAACAGACACACAGACAGACAGACAGACACACACAUACACACAGUCAGCUUUACCGUAUUCCUCGUGCGGCUAAAAUACUGUACUACUCUCUAUACAUGUUGUCACAUGCCAAUUGGUUUUGGGUUUCUUUCAAUAGACUCUGUUUCCAUAAAGUGAGUCCACUGGCUAUAAUACCAUAUAGCGCUAAAAAAUUUUUAUUGAAAAAUGUUCGUGGGUUGACUGCUUACUGGAAGUAUUCCUGAAAUCGUACUUUUAUAGCAGAUAAUUCUACACAUUUUCGUGGAAUUAAUUUUCGUGUAGGAUUGCUAACCCAUGAGAACAGUGAAAAUUUAACCCCCUCGAAAAUGUUGUGCUAUACGAUAACAUAUACAAUUCUUUGGAGUCACCUCCUUUGAAACUAAAUUGUCUCCAAAUGUUCAAUGCAAGUUUUGUGCAGUGUAAACUGAACUGUUUUGAGUGUAGUAGAAAAAUACUAGGUAAAGUUAGUUAGCAUGGAAAUUGAUCAUUGGGUACACUUAAGCUCAGACACAUACCUCAAGCAGCCCUGUGGUCACAGUGUGUCCAUCGGCCAGCACAUAGUCCAUCCAUAUGACCACGCCAUGACACGGCUCACUGCAUUCAGUCAGAGGUCAAAGGACAUCAAUGGGACUACAUCACUGCGAUGAAAGGAGGGAUACUCCCACACAUGAUGAGGCUCUGCUUCUAUCCCUUCCACCGUUGUCGUAUGCUUGCCCACCUGCAGGAGUGGGUGUGGAAGAGGGUGGGGCA
Long non-coding RNA from Halichondria panicea, 2239 nucleotides. RefSeq lists it as uncharacterized. Lineage: Eukaryota; Metazoa; Porifera; Demospongiae; Suberitida; Halichondriidae. The transcript is spliced from 3 exons. The record is from RefSeq and is a predicted model, not a curated record.